Molecule: ribosomal RNA, 206 nt
Filed under: uncultured bacterium
Lineage: Bacteria
Description: partial 16S ribosomal RNA
Rfam family: Bacterial small subunit ribosomal RNA
Source: RNAcentral
CUCGUAGGCGGCCAACUAAGUCAUACGUGAAAUCCCUCGGCUUAACCGGGGAACUGCGUCUGAUACUGGAUGGCUUGAGUUCGGGAGAGGGAUGCGGAAUUCCAGGUGUAGCGGUGAAAUGCGUAGAUACCUGGAGGAACACCGGUGGCGAAGGCGGCAUCCUGGACCGAUACUGACGCUGAGGAGCGAAAGCCAGGGAGCAAACG